CAUUCUCCAUUCGCAGGCAGGAGGUUGUGAAUGAAGCACCACCAGUCACUGACCUAAAAGAUUGAUGGCCUGCUCUUUUUGAUGCAGCUCAGAUAAAUGAAGAAUUCAGGAGGAUCACCACUAUUAACCUGGAGCCAACGUUCAUGGCAAAACUGGACCAGUACACCCCGAAAAUAAUGUCCAUGGUGUCCUUAAGAGGAGGGGCUUCAAAAAUGAAGAUUCAGUGCAUAAGAAACAUGCUGCUAGAGGAUGAGUCUGUGGGAAAAAAGGAGAGAGGUUGCUAUCCGUGGUUUAAUGGUGUAUCCCAGAGAAAAGGAGGAGGAUCUCUUCAAAGAGCAGUUGGAUGGUGGGGAUAUUGUCAAAGAAGUGAUGAAGAUUGUCAUAUCCAGAGGUGCCACCAUGUCUGUUCCAACCAGCGCGAGGAUCUUCAUUGAGGGAACAGAAGUUCUGCAAGACCUGGACGUACCCAGAGCCUGUGCCUUGCUAGUGGGGCUGAUAUACGGACUCAACCUCAGCUACCCAAAAGAACUGAAAAAUACUUUUGAGGUAUUUCAAAAGAUAUUCCAGCUGGAUGGGCUGAAAGCCAGUCCGAAGGUAAUGUCUUUAAAAAGUAAACUGCUGUGCUAAAAAUGUGAAGAAUUAGACUGUCCUCAAAUUCAACAGGAUAUGUUGCACUGUUAUGUUUGUAAAGUUUUGUUGUGCAAGAAACAGCACCUGUACUGUUGACAGUCGACACUUCAUUAGGUACACCUACUUAGAAUGCUUAGUGUUCUUGCCAGUUUUUUGGAAGUGUUAAUAUGUAUCAGACACUAUUUACAAAGUCCCUUGGAAAACAUGCCUCUAUAUUCGCCAUGAAAAUACAUGUAGCCGUUUGAUAUGUUUUUUCCAACACCAGCAUCAUUUAAUUUAUGUAUUCUUUUUCACAUGGUGCUUUUUAUUAUUGUAUUCGUUAACAUGCACAGAGAAUGAAGCACUGGAUUGAGGGGAUUGGUCCUCCAAAAUAUUUUGGAGUAUUUGACUUUGAAGCUCCCAUACAUUAAUUUUGAUUAAAGGGGAACUUUGGUAUUUUUCAACCUGGGCCCUAUUUCCCUGUGUGUGUGUGUGUGUGUGUGUG
Sander lucioperca (pikeperch) is the source of this 1114-nucleotide long non-coding RNA. RefSeq lists it as uncharacterized. The transcript is spliced from 4 exons. The record is from RefSeq and is a predicted model, not a curated record. NCBI's taxonomy places the organism in Eukaryota, Metazoa, Chordata, Actinopteri, Perciformes, Percidae.